AGUGACCACUUUUCUCUCCAGCUGCCUCGCAUGAUGGCAAAUGGCAUAUUUAAAUGGUAAAAGGCUUGAUCUCUAUCUCAAAACAUUUGACAUACUCACACUGAAGAUGGAAAAAACUGUUUUUGAUGGCUUCAGAGGAAAGACUGUGUACUAAGAAGAGCAAGACUCAGGGUGGAACAGCCCUUCUCUGGAGCAUACCAAAGAAGAAUUGGAUCCAACCUAUAGUUGACCAGAAGCCACCUAGUGUUUUUAAGAGGAGAAUAACAUUACUAAGUUGAAAUGAUCACUCUGAUGCUAGGGUGGAAGGAACAUGAAUUGCAAAGGAAGAAAUUGGUAGCAGGGGAACCAAUUACAAGGUAUGUACCAAGUGUUAUGAACAGGAUAUGUAAUAAUGGUAUUAUCGAAUAUUGUUUCCAGCAUGAUACAUC
Molecule: long non-coding RNA, 428 nt
Filed under: Homo sapiens (human)
Lineage: Eukaryota; Metazoa; Chordata; Mammalia; Primates; Hominidae
Description: HSALNT0354254
Source: RNAcentral